AGAAACUAGGGUAUCAUCUUUAUUAAAUGUUCCCAGAAAUAAAAUGGAUUCUGAUCUCUCUCCCAAAACAGAAGAUAAGCUGGUCUCUGGAGAGACCUUAACUUCGGUGACUGUAUUUGUGGACAGUGGAGUCGUGUGAGCCUUGCUUCACACUGCAGUGGGACUGGCUGUCCUCCCUCCGUGGUAGAGACCAAGGAGACUAAUGAUGCACCUAAGUUAAUUCACUCGACUCUGGGACUAUGAGGCAGUUCAUCCACACGCUCCAAACUCCAGCUUAUUGUAGGAGACCAGUGCCUCGAUCUCAUGAGGUCAUCUCGACGCCUCAGCUGUAACCCUUGGAGAACCUGUGGUCUCUGCUCCUCUGCCUGCUGACAUGAUCAUCCCAGGUGCAAAACAGGCAUCGGAAACAAGAGGUGAAUUCUCCCCAUAUGACAGGAAAUUGGUGCAAAUGACCAGAGCCCCCCACCUCUGAGAUACGGAGUCAGAGUCGGAGCUACAAUGACGGAUGACAUCAGCAUCAAUGUCAGCAUCCCCUCCAGCAUCACCACCGUCUACCAGCAACAGGGAAUGUUGCAGGUUUGUUUCCUGUUCCUUCUCCACGUGCUGUGUGCCAAGCACAGAAAGCCUCAGUGACCAGCUACUGAAU
Long non-coding RNA from Homo sapiens (human), 646 nucleotides. RefSeq lists it as uncharacterized. The record is from RefSeq and is a predicted model, not a curated record. The transcript has 4 exons. Lineage: Eukaryota; Metazoa; Chordata; Mammalia; Primates; Hominidae.